UACGGGGGGGGCAAGCGUUGUUCGGAAUUACUGGGCGUAAAGGGCCAGUAGGCGGCCAACUAAGUCCGACGUGAAAUCCCCAGGCUUAACCUGGGAACUGCGUCGGAUACUGGAUGGCUUGAAUUCGGGAGAGGGAUGCAGAAUUCCAGGUGUAGCGGUGAAAUGCGUAGAUAUCUGGAGGAACACCGGUGGCGAAGGCGGCAUCCUGGACCGGCAUUGACGCUGAGGAGCGAAAGCCAGGGGAGCAAACGGG
Molecule: ribosomal RNA, 253 nt
Filed under: uncultured bacterium
Lineage: Bacteria
Description: partial 16S ribosomal RNA
Rfam family: Bacterial small subunit ribosomal RNA
Source: RNAcentral